UUCAGAUCUAGCUCUGGGAUGGGGACAGGCCUGGGGGGCACUGGGGAGUAAUACACGUGUGGGCAGGAAGCAGAGGUUCAGAGUCCCGUGGGCUCUGCGGGACUGGGGUGCUAGGCACAAGGCGGGGUCAGAAGGGCCUGGGGGUCAGGGCAGGCCUGGGGGCCGCAGGACGGAUGGAGGGUGGUCAGACAGGGCUGAGGGGCAACAGAAUGUCAAGGUGGACUAUGGGGUCAUGGAGGGAUGUGGGGGCAGGCACAAUGCAGGGCUUGGAUCCAGCCUUGGGGUGAGGUCAGGGCUGAGGGUCAGCAGGGUGGGGCAGGGGGUGAUCACAGAUGGCGGGGCAGCAAGGGGCAGAGGGUGCUGGGGUAUGACACGCACAAGGAGAGGGUCAGAUCCAGCCAGGGCCUGGGGGUGGGGCAGGGCUGGCCUAGGGACAUGCCACCACCAGGGUAGAAGAGGUUGACCUGCCCCCUGUCCCAGGAUACCCCAGAGAGGGAGUGCACGUAUGACAUCCCACCCCCCAGUUCUUCACCUCCUCUCCAGUCUCCAUCUUACACACCCACGAGCAAUCUCACUCCCCAAACCACCCUCAUCCCCUGGAGUAAAGGGUGCAAGGGCACCUCAGCACCCCCAGCUGAUCCCCAUUCCAUCCUUGCCCCCUGGGAACACCACCUGGAAUGGGCCGGGCCCCUGGUUCAAGGCUGAUCCAGCAGGUAUAACAUCUGUGAGACACAAACCGCGUGCCUCAGCAGCCCCCAAGACACACUCUCGCCUUUCCAAGGCCAAACUGCCACCACAGUCGGGAAAAGAGGCCUCAAAAUGAAUAAAGAUAGGUCUUGUUCCAGCUGGAAUGAAGCAAUUCCACUGCAGUUCGUUCGGCUCAUUGCAGGCAGCAGGAGCAGGACCCACAGCGCUGCGGGCGUUGCACCCGCUCGCUCCAAGGCUGAAUCAGCUUUCCUAAAAGCAAACAAGCAGGAGAGGAUUGUUGGGAGAGGAAGUGGCCAGGCCUGUCCAAGGGGAGGCAGGCGCGGAUUAGCAAUGGGAGCGGAGGUUCCUGGAGCUCGAUAAAGGAUUUGCCAGGGCUGGGAACACAGAGGGAGCUCCGUCCCCUCCCCUUCACUGCGUGACAUCGAGCGAUUUACGACCGAACUGGAGCCGACUAGUUUGGCAAAAGAGACGUGGAGCGGAGCCGGCAGAGCAUCGUGGAAAAACUGCUCCUGCAAGGUGAUGGGGGAAAUUGUGUUAUUUUAAAAUUGCUAAUUUAUUGUACUUUGUUAAGUUGCUGCAGCAAAUGGCUCUGGGAGUGCUGCCUGCUUGUGCAAGCUGCUUUUCCUGUGCUUUAAUCUUUUUUUCUUUCAGUACAAGAGCCACUCCAGUUUCAGCUCCUGCUCUUGCUUGAUGGGGCCCUUCCUCCUCCUUCUCCAUUCAUUGCGAGGGACUGCACUGCCAGGUAUCACAAUGCCAUCAGUAUUUCCAUGUAGGCCACAGAAGAAACUUUUGCUGUCACGGAAUCACAGAAUGGUUUAUGUUGGAAAGGUCCCCAAAGGUCCUGUCCCACGCUCUACCACGGACAGGGACAUCUUCCACCAGACCAGGUUGCUCUGAGCCCCAUCCAACCCGUUCUUUUACACUUUCAGGGAUGGAGCAGCCACAACCUCUGUCAUUUCCUGAUGGUCGUUUGCUCACUGUCAUUUUCACCGAAAUCACAGACCAAUGUCCCUCUUUUCCUUCCCUCCAGCAGGACCAAAUUCCCAGGGAGAGCCUCCUGGAGAAUCCACUGCAGCCAGGAAUGUUUUUCUAGACAUCCCUUGAUGCACCACUGAGUUCCAGGCCUGUCAGAGGGCCCAUGGCAACAGCUCUGGGCUCUGCCAGGUCAGGCCAGAACAGAAGGUGGUGACAUCUGAUAAGGAACAGAUGAACUCAGGUUGCACUGUUCUCCCCCUGUGACUCCCCCUCUCCUGCCCUGCAUUCCUCUGAAAUAACUGGGGUUUCUCUUCUCACUCCCCAGUUUGGGACUGGGGCACAUCCCCUUCAGCACAUCCUGUAAAGGCAGCCCUUGUGUUUUGCAGUCCAAGUGCUACCUCAGCUCUGCUCCUGCAUGUCCAGAAGCUCACCCUCACUGUGGUCAUAUCCUUCCUGACACUCCUCUGCUGCACACUAUGGUCCUCUCCACCUCCAUCCUCUGAAGAGCUUCUCAGAACAACACUUCCAGCUUCAACUUCCUUUCCAAGAUGCCAAAAUUGCACCUCACACCAAACAUGGCAGCUGGUCCCUUUGUGGCACAGAGAGGGAAGGAAUCAACAACUUGUAACUGUAUUUCUGGCUGUAAGCAGGAAUUUUAGAGCAGCCUUUAAGGAUCCCACUUGCUGUCAGCAGAGUACAGGACACAGCUCUGAACAGAGAUGCGCCGCACAGCCCAGCCUGGUACAACACUUCCAACUGUGAUGUGCCAGCACACGUGAGAUUGGGCUCACUGGAAGAGCAAAGGUCUCUCAGGCUUGUGGAAUAUACUAACUGCAUUUUCCCAAGCAUUUCUGUACUGCCAUAAGGUCUGGAAAUCUACUGAUAUAAGGGAGACAACUGAUAUUUGAGAUUUGAACACCUCAAAGAUAACAGAUCAAUGCCUGACUCCUUCCUGAGGCCAUUCCAGAGUCUCCACCCUCCUACACAAUGGAGUUUAUCUCUGAGGUUGUUCCUGCCCCUCCCUCUCUCUACACCUUCAGGUAUCCCAUUAGGGAGGCUUUGAUACCCAAACCCAGUAGGAAGGCAUCCAGGUCACUCUGCCUUCACUGGAGCAGCAAGCCAUGCGCAGCCCCAGAGCCCUGAUCCAAGGCAAUGUGUGUCCUGCUGCUGGAGGAGGAAGGUGGCUAUGUGCAGGCACCUGGAAUUGGGCACCCACCUGCAACUGCACAGCUGCCAUGGCCCAGCUGAGGGGAAAAACAUUGCAGGUAGGAAAGGAAGAUCUCUGUGAUCCCAAAGCACACACUACUGGAAACGUUUGCUGGUUCUGCAAGCAUUUGGAACAAUGUGAUCCUCCUGAACGUGCCAGCAAGUCCCUCCCUGUCCUUGCUCACUCUUGGAUUCCCAGAAUACAAGAGGGCUUUAUUCUCAACAGGGAUUGCCCCCUGCUUUUCUUUCUCCUGCAUAAAAUGGGCAAAACUGUGGUCAGAGACAGGAUGGAGCUGAGCUGCAGGCCGUGGCACGCACCUGCAGGAGCACAUGGGAGCACAGAGAAGCACAUGGCAGCACAGAGAGGCUUGUCUCUGCCUGACCUUGGGGCAGGAGGUGCCACGUGGCAGAGCCCUGCAGAGAGGAGCUGCCAGAAGCUGACAGAUGGGUGAACAGCCGUGGCCACCCCACAGAAGGAUUUUAAGAAAGCGUGUUGCUGACGUGGUGAUGGGUGAUAGGUUGCUUAGUGAGAAUUACCGUAUAAGGAAAUACUGUGUCUUGAAGAAGUCUAUAAAACCAUCUUGUUUCUUUGAAUAAAUGAUUCUGAU
Molecule: long non-coding RNA, 3497 nt
Organism: Melospiza melodia melodia
Lineage: Eukaryota; Metazoa; Chordata; Aves; Passeriformes; Passerellidae
Exons: 5
Source: RefSeq, a predicted model, not a curated record